UUUCCUGAGUCUUGAAAUAAAGUACUAAUUAUAAUAGCUCCCACACCUUAUAAUUGAAAAAAUUAAUGGUGUGCUCACACUUCCAUAAAACACAUAGAAUUAAAACUUGGAGGAAGGGAGGGAAAAAUAAAAUGACAUAAUCCAAGGGGGAGACAAACCAUAAGGGACUCCUAACCAUAGGAAACAAACUGAGGGUUGCUGGAGGGGAAGGAGUUGGAGGGAUGAGGUAACAGGGUGAUGGGCAUUAAGGAGGGCAUGCGAUGUAAUGAGCAUUGGGUGUUAUACGCAACUAAUGAAUCACUGAACUCUACCUCUGAAAAUAAUAAUAUACUAUAUGUUAAUUGAAUUUAAAUUAAAAAAAUUUUAUUGUGUCAGAUUAAAAAAAAACUUGGACUAGAGAACAUUAAAAUUGAUUUUAAAAAUAGGAAUCAUUUUCAAAGAAGUCUUUUCAUUUCUUUGAAAAAUAAAAAUUGUCCAAGUUUAACAGUUUGGAACUUCAGUAGUCCUGGAAAUUUCAAUAAGACAACUGCUCUGCUUGGGUUGCGUUUCCUUUACCUCAUAUUUUGAAAGUGUCUCCAAGAAAAAAGCUUACCUACUGUUCUCAGUUACUGCAACCCUGUACUGUCCAUUGUCCAAACACUGAAAAGAGUUGCUUCGUAUAUUUCUAUCCACUUAUGGUUAUUGAUGACAAGAAAGUUAUUCUGUUGUCAGCUGUUCCAUGAUGGCUAAAUCACAGAAGCCUAUAAAUCUUUGAGAAGAUAGCAUAGAGAGGAAUAUUGUUAAGUUCUUGGAAUAACAAUGAGUUUCUUAAUGGAAAAAGAAACAUGAAGGAAAUUUUUGAUAAAUUUAAUCACAUUAAAUUAAGGAUUGUCCCUCAAAAGAUUCCCUAAGGUGAAUAAAAAGACAUGGCAAUGUAGUGGGGGAGGAUAUUUGCAAUGUGGAAGAUGACAAUGCAGUAAUAAAAUGAUGUAAAGAGUAGACUUACGGCUUGGGGAAGAUAAAUAUGACAUACUUUCUGAAAUGUUCCCAGAUGUUUAUCAUUAAAAAACCAACAAAGAUUGCUAAGAAAAACCAAUACACAGCAUUUUUUCAACAAAAUUAAGUGACAAGGCAUUUUCAUAAGGUACAAAAUACAAGUAGAUGGAAUCAAACUAUGGGGUACACAAUAUUUUGUCAAGACUUGUCAGGUUUUGCAGAGGUGAGGGGUUGCCGAGUAAAGAAAAAGGGAAGUUCUAUGUGUCCUAAGAACUCCAGAAAACAAAUUACCAAUAAAUAUCCAUAAAAGGAGAAGAUUCCUCCAAGUAUAUCAGAGAACAACCUGCAAAACAGAAGGCUCCAUUGGCUUCAAUAUGUGGGUGAGCACAAAAGGACAUGAGCACUAAGGUACUGCAAGAAAUCAGAGGGAGCUGAGGCAGUCUAACCCUCAAGGAAAUUAAAAAAAAAAAAAAAAAAAAAAAAUUGGUCAAAACCAAAACUCUAUUUCAGAAGGACAGAAAUCAUCUUGGAGGAAAAACUGCUGGGAAUAGAAUCCAGUUAAGAUGGACCUAACCCAAAACUGUUAAUCAUCUGACUUGCAUAAAUUCCUACUCUUCCUGAUGUACCAUAAUGGCAUUCCUGCAUCCCUAGGAAUUAGUGAAAAUAUAGUGUGUAUUAUACCUGAAAUGCUCAGUUACAUCCUUUUCCCCCAAUGCACAGUCACCUUGGUAAAUGGACACUGGUCCCUUUAGGGGGAGGUUAUGACUUAAAGUAUUUAUACUUCUGUGACACUAUUGGGAACUUUCUUCAGGGGACUAAGCCUCCCCUUCUUUCAGGUUGCUCUGGGGCUACAAACUUGCAUUUUGGAAUUGGCUGAGGGCCCAUGACUCUUCAUUUUGGUCAUUCAAGUUGAACUCCCAUUCAACAGAUUUACAAUCUUUUCUUCAAUUGGCUACUUAACUAUUUCAGUCCUGGGACACCAUAACAGAUGUUGCCAAAGAUCACAUCUUCCAGUUACUUUGACUUUGGUUGUGGUGCCAUUAAAGUAACCAUGCCCACCUUGUCUCCACUACUUUAGUGACAACAUGACCCCUACCUCUCUGUGAUCCUAUUAUUCCCAUUGAAUUCUGGGAACCUAUUUCAAGGACAACAUUUCCCAUUGUCAUUUCUGAUGCACAGAGAAUAGCCACAAGAGUUCGUCAAGAUUGUUGGUGAUGACCUCACUAAUAUGUUUCCCAAGGAUUUGAUAAAGGGAAUAUUUGAAUAUUUUCUGGACUCUCCAGUAGACAUAGUAGGUGAGUGAGCAGGUCUUACUCCAGCAUUGCAAUCUCCUUCAACUUUUGGCAACUCCAUUUUUGGUAUACCAAGCAAGUUCUGGCAUCUCAAUUUUGUUCAGUGUUGGCCACGUGUCAGUCCAAGUUUCAGACAACCAACCAAGAAAACUCUUAUAGUUGCUCCUAGGCUUCCUAGCCAACAACUGAAUCCCCAAGUCUCUGCCUAGUGCUUCGUAUCAGUAGAUUCAGCCAAAUCCAAUAGUAUAUUCCUUCACCCGGAUCAAACAUCCAUUUUCACACAUAGUCCUUAGGUUCCUCUCAAUAUAAAGAUUUUAUUUAUUUAUUUAACUGACAGAGAGACAGCUAGAGAAAGAAUACAAGCAGGGGGAGUGGAAGAGGGAGAAGCACACUUCCCGCCAAGCAGGGAGCCCGAUGCGGGGCUCAAUCCCAGGGCCCUGGGAUCAUGACCUGAGCUGAAGGCAGCCUCUUAACCAACUGAGCCACCCACGUGUCCCAGGUUCCUCUCAAUAUAAAUCGACAAAUUUUGCAUUACUUUUAUGUGUGUGAUGUCUCCUCUUAGGUCACACUUCACAGUUGAACCCUGGGACCUACUGGGACUUGAGUCUGAACGUAGACCUACAAGCAAUAAGAGGUGUGAGACUGAAAAAAUCACAAUGCUCACUCUUCCAAGCAAGGAACGGGCAUAUGACUAAGCUGGAGAAACUGGGCUUCCAUUCUGAGGACUUUGACUUUUGAGUAGAAAAACAAGGACAGAAGAGUGUUCGGAACUCAUCCUAGAGAGGAUGAUCAAGUAUGUGUGUUGCCUGGAACUCCAGAGAAGCUUUUGGUCCAAGCCUUUCCAGAGCCUGACCCUCAGGCUUUCCAGAACCUGACUUCCUGCUAAUAUUAAACGAUUCUUACGAGCUGUUGAAGUGACAUAGCAGUGCUCAACAGGUGGGCCAAUUAACAAUUUACUCUUCAUGACUCUCUGGGACUAUUGGAAUUUACUAUAAAGUAGCAGAUUCUAGAUAUCAUCUGUAGGAAAACUAACUCCUGCCCAAGGGGGUCUGAACAUUAUUAGAACUUCAGACAGCUGCCACCCCCCACCCACCCAGGACUUUCUCUGGAAAUCCUGGCAUUUCAUCCUACCCUUGUAAUGUUCUGAAUCCUCAUUGUCCAAAGUUUGUUCUGAGGUGACUGCAGAACCAAUCAGAGAACUCGACUGGAGCAGAGGUUUGCUAUUUCUCAAGAUGUUACACAGAAAUAUGACUGCAUCCUAAGAAUCAGAAAGAAUGUUAUAUAAGUUCUUUAUUUUUGUGCUAAGAUUUCCGGAGUUUACCUACCAACAUAAGGAUUAACCUUAUCUCAAAGUUAAUUCAUAAAGGUUAAGAGUUUCUAAACAUCGCUACCAUGUUUCCCAAUUGUGCACAAUCAUUUAUAAUUUAAGCAGAAAGGAAAUACAGCAUGGGUAAAGCUAAAGUGUUUGCCUCUCGUAUUUCUAUCUAAACUGUAUAGCUGGAAGGGGGGAUGUCUCGGAUACCGGAGAGUUGAGCAUGGGCUGCUUAGCACAUCACAUGCUGGUUUCUGUAAAGUUUCUGUAACAGUGUUAUCUAAGUAGUAUAGAUUCUCCCUCUUUAAAUUAAUUCCACCCCCCCAAACUCCUCAUCUUUUAAUUACUGUAAAAACUGGUUUCAAUUUGCUUGCAAGUAAUUUUCUGCUUCCUACGUUUUUGUGGUUUGCUAAUUUGGAAAGAAUUAUAAUCAGUGUACUCUACCAGAGAAAACUCUGUAAUAUGGCAGAGUCCAGGGUAGAAAAGUUCCAUUUUCUGUGUUUUGGGCAGCUUUCAA
Molecule: long non-coding RNA, 4096 nt
Organism: Mirounga angustirostris (Northern elephant seal)
Lineage: Eukaryota; Metazoa; Chordata; Mammalia; Carnivora; Phocidae
Exons: 3
Source: RefSeq, a predicted model, not a curated record